UAAAUCACUUAAACUCCUAUAUGAUAGCAUGAACAAAAAACAACUAAGUUCAGAUAAACAAUAAUAAAGGUAAACUGACCAGAUUGAUUUGUUUUUGAAACACAGAAGAUAUUUUACCUCUACUUAUAUUUGGCACAUUUACUUUUGUGCGCAUAAAGUAUCCUACAUUAGCACAGUUUACCUUGGAUGUAAAUGAUAAAGGAAAUACUACUGAAAAAAAUGUUCUAGUACUUUCACCACAGGAGCUAGAAUAAUGAACUUAUUUCACUUCAGUUUAGCCAUAUUUUGCGCUCAACUAGCUAUAUUCCAGUGUUCCACAGUGUAUAGAACAGCAAUGCGAACCAGCCACAAUAAUUAGCUACCACAUUGAGCCAUUGACUACUUACAUGUCGUGUUUAUGUCAAAAUGAACUUAAGGUUCCAAUAAACCAUGUCACUGCACUACUCAAUGAGUGGUACUUAUUGAUCAGAAAUGUUUUACACGUUGCUCAAAAAAUUAGAGAUGCCUAACUGUUUAAUGGACCUACAUGUUUACAUAAUUUUAAGUGCAAACCUUCACAAUUCAAGAAAGAUAUAAUGUCCUGAACUCACACACAUCACAGAACCAACAAAAUGGCUAGGUAUUAUCCAAAUUGGUCAGAUUUAAAAGAGUAAUAUCUAUUAACUUCAAUUCAGCAGACAGAAAACCAUGCAAAUGCAUGACAUCCACCGAAUGGACUUACAUAGGCAUGUCUGAUAUAUGUCCUCUCAAGAGAGUUAUUAAUCUUCUGCUACAUCCUCCUAUCGAUUUUAGUAUCAUUGAAUUGGCCAUUACACAAACUAGACUACCCAACCACCAAGCAUAUGCUAAACACAUACCCGACUAGUCACCAUGCCUAUAAGCUCAUGAGGAUAGUGGGGUAUCAUCCUACUUGUGCCCUUCUAGAUAGCUUACCUGUUGGAGGAGGAAGAAUAUAUACUUUUAAGCAUUAUACAAAGGUUCUUCAAUAAGCAUGAAAUGCACUACGAAAAAGAAUUGAGCCAUCUUAUAUUUAACCAGAGUGAUGCACAAAUGUAAAAGGCUAAAAAAUAAUCAUUGUUAUUAUGAAUUCUCUUACAAACCGCUGGAAAUAAAGGAAAGCUAUAACAAUAGCCAUGUAGGCAUGAAGGAUUUGUUCC
RNAcentral lists this long non-coding RNA (1157 nucleotides) under Setaria italica (foxtail millet). RNAcentral describes it as "long non-coding RNA (SITA_LNC006130)". Lineage: Eukaryota; Viridiplantae; Streptophyta; Magnoliopsida; Poales; Poaceae. The record is from RNAcentral.